AGUCCGGGUGGUUUCUUCCGACCGACCGUCAGCACUCGACAAAUAACUGAGCAGCUGCUGGGGCCGGGAACACCGCGGGGACAGGUCAGAGCUGACCCUGAGCGACUCUACUGCCUCUCCCCGCCACGCCCACCUGCCCCCUGCGGGGUAGGACCCCGCAACCACCACUCCAGAGUCCUCUGCAGGGACUGCUGUUGCUACGGGAGAGGAAGCCAGAGGAAGGGGACGCCAUCUGGGGGAUGCUUGGGCCGUGGUGGCUGCAGAAGCAGCAGCAGCAGUGACGGCCACCGCCGCCAACCAGGGGCUUCUCCCUGGCCAGCGCAGCCACCUGGGCUCCGGGCAGCAGCAUUUUCCACGUGGCUCCUCCAAUCCUCACGAGACAGCAGCUCCCUGCAUUGCUAAUGGCCCUCACUGUGAGGAUAAUGACCAUACCGGGUCCUGGGAGACCUCCUGAACUGCAGCGGCAGGGAACCCCGACACCCAGUGAGUCUGAGAGCCUCACAGCUGCCCGCCUGGCUGACUCCCAUCAGGUCUGAAGCACCCUCCCGACAGUCAUGGUGGCUGUUUUUGUCUUUCCCAGGAGAAAUGAAUGGCACUGGCAACCUGGGCCUCGUGCCUGUUUUC
RNAcentral lists this long non-coding RNA (624 nucleotides) under Homo sapiens (human). Its description in RNAcentral is "non-protein coding lnc-CCDC8-1:3". The record is from RNAcentral. Lineage: Eukaryota; Metazoa; Chordata; Mammalia; Primates; Hominidae.